UGGGGAAUUGUUCGCAAUGGGCGCAAGCCUGACGACGCAACGCCGCGUGGAGGACGAAGAUCUUCGGGUCGUAAACUCCUUUCGAUCGGGAAGAAUGGCUCCGGGGUUAAUCGCCCUGGAGAGUGACGGUACCGAGAGAAGAAGCCCCGGCUAACUCUGUGCCAGCAGCCGCGGUAAUACAGGGGGGGCAAGCGUUGUUCGGAAUUACUGGGCGUAAAGGGCUCGUAGGCGGCCAACUAAGUCCGACGUGAAAUCCCAAAGCUUAACUUUGGAACUGCGUCGGAUACUGGAUGGCUUGAAUUCGGGAGAGGGAUGCAGAAUUCCAGGUGUAGCGGUGAAAUGCGUAGAUAUCUGGAGGAAUACCGGUGGCGAAGGCGGCAUCCUGGACCGACAUUGACGCUGAGGAGCGAAAGCUAGGGGAGCAAACGGGAUUAGAUACCCCGGUAGUCCUAGCCCUAAACGAUGAAUGUUGGUGUGGCGGGUAUCGAUCCCUGCCGUGCCGAAGCUAACGCUAA
RNAcentral lists this ribosomal RNA (515 nucleotides) under uncultured Acidobacteriota bacterium. RNAcentral describes it as "bacterial SSU rRNA". It matches the Rfam family "Bacterial small subunit ribosomal RNA", at positions 355 to 861 of the family's 1533-position model. Lineage: Bacteria; Pseudomonadati; Acidobacteriota. The record is from RNAcentral.